Molecule: long non-coding RNA, 478 nt
Filed under: Lathyrus oleraceus (garden pea)
Lineage: Eukaryota; Viridiplantae; Streptophyta; Magnoliopsida; Fabales; Fabaceae
Description: Pisum sativum (pea) long non-coding RNA (PSAT_LNC042229)
Source: RNAcentral
AAAAGUUCACUGGCUGAACUGGAAUCAUGAAGUUCUGCCCCUUGCAAAUUCUUUAUUGGGUAAGAUGCAAGAUUAGCUACAGACUGUACACCCAUUCCGUUCGCCAUAGCCUCUAUAUUGAUCUCAGUUUUGUGCAAUACAGGGUUAACAUAGCCUGCUGUUGUUGAUAAAGAGCCAACCCAGGAUAAACAAUAACCUCUUGAGGCCCCAAACCACAAUCCACAAGAAUCCACCGACCUCGAUAAUCUCCAUUGCAUGAUAAUGUGGCAUUGCGGAGAACAAGUGAUGUGCCACGUGAGUGUCUGUAAUAUUGUGGAAGACCUUGUUUAGGAUUCCGUAAUUCCUGUCCACAGUUGCUAAAGCUCCUCUCAACCAGUCCCACUCCGAGGAAUCGUAAUGUGGCAACGCAGGGUGAGUAUGCUACAAAACUGUGAUCAACACCAAGAAUCCAUUGACUACGAGCAGUGGAACUCCGUAA